This 426-nucleotide ribosomal RNA is filed under the name uncultured bacterium. RNAcentral describes it as "bacterial SSU rRNA". It matches the Rfam family "Bacterial small subunit ribosomal RNA", at positions 355 to 772 of the family's 1533-position model. The record is from RNAcentral.
UGGGGAAUUGUUCGCAAUGGGCGCAAGCCUGACGACGCAACGCCGCGUGGAGGAUGAAGGUCUUCGGAUUGUAAACUCCUGUUGACCGGGAAGAAUGGGCCCUGACCUAACACGUCGGGGCAAUGACGGUACCGGUUGAGGACGCCACGGCUAACUCUGUGCCAGCAGCCGCGGUAAUACAGAGGUGGCAAGCGUUGUUCGGAAUUACUGGGCGUAAAGGGCGCGUAGGCGGCCUUCUAAGUCGAACGUGAAAUCCCCGGGCUCAACCCGGGAACUGCGUCCGAGACUGGGAGGCUUGAAUCCGGGAGAGGGAUGUGGAAUUCCAGGUGUAGCGGUGAAAUGCGUAGAUAUCUGGAGGAACAUCGGUGGCGAAGGCGGCAUCCUGGACCGGUAUUGACGCUGAGGCGCGAAAGCCAGGGGAGCAAA